RNAcentral lists this ribosomal RNA (406 nucleotides) under uncultured bacterium. RNAcentral describes it as "partial 16S ribosomal RNA". It matches the Rfam family "Bacterial small subunit ribosomal RNA", at positions 30 to 526 of the family's 1533-position model. The record is from RNAcentral.
AUUGAACGCUGGCGGCAGGCCUAACACAUGCAAGUCGAACGAGUGGCGGACGGGUGAUUAAUGUCUGGGACACUGCCUGAUGGAGGGGGAUAACUACUGGAAACGGUCGCUAAUACCGCAUACCAUCGGAUUUGCCCAGAUGGGAUUAGCUAGUAGGUGGGGUAACGGCUAAACUAGGCGACGAUACCUAGCUGUUCUGAGAGGAUGACCAGCCAAACUGGAACUGAGAAACGGUACAGACUCCUACGGGAGGCAGCAGUGGGGAAUAUUGCACAAUGGGCGCAAGCCUGAUGCAGCCAUGCCGCGUGUAUGAAGAAGGCCUUCGGGUUGUAAAGUACUUUCAGCGGGGAGGCGUUACCCGCAGAAGAAGCACCGGCUAACUCCGUGCCAGCAGCCGCGGUAAUAC